Long non-coding RNA from Callorhinus ursinus (northern fur seal), 543 nucleotides. RefSeq lists it as uncharacterized. The record is from RefSeq and is a predicted model, not a curated record. NCBI's taxonomy places the organism in Eukaryota, Metazoa, Chordata, Mammalia, Carnivora, Otariidae.
UUUGGAUUAUGUGUGAACACAAAUCAUGAGAUACUAAGGAACUGGCCAUGAGUUGAUAAUUGUUAAAGUUGAAUGACAGGACACGAAAGUUCAUUAUAUCUCGAUACUUCUGUUUAUAUUUGAAAUUUUCUCUAAUAGAUUUUCUACGUUUAAAACGGCUGAAGCCAAACAAGGAAAAGAUGGCGAGGACAAAUAUGCUUUUAUCUGCUCCAACACACCAGCAGGGUGUUUGAAUGCUUGGGGUCCUGAAAGAAGCUGGGGGAAGCUUAAGAAGAGUCUUCUUAAGAGGUUACUAGAGAAGAGAGCAUAUCCAAGAGUAACUAAUAAUCACUUGGGUUUGAAGUCAGACCUUGCCUGUGAUAACCUGAAUCAAUUCCUUUAAUCAGCAGCAGGCAACAACCAAAGACCCACUGUAGAACACACUUAUCCUGCUCAAUAUUAUGGGCUUAAAAAAUAAGGUGGAGAAAAUUAUAUGCCUAGCAUGCACAAAACAAAGUCAGCCCAUUCUCCUGUCUGUAAAUAAACUUUAUGUCUUAUUUGGCA